CGUCGAGUGGCGGACGGGUGAGUAAUGCUUGGGAAUCUACCCAGUAGCGGGGGAUAACUCGAGGAAACUCGAGCUAAUACCGCAUACGCCCCACGGGGGAAAGCGGGGGACUCUUCGGAGCCUCGCACUAUUGGAUGGGCCCAAGUCGGAUUAGCUUGUUGGUAGGGUAAUGGCCUACCAAGGCGACGAUCCGUAGCUGGUCUGAGAGGACGAUCAGCCACACUGGGACUGAGACACGGCCCAG
This 244-nucleotide ribosomal RNA is filed under the name uncultured bacterium. Its description in RNAcentral is "partial 16S ribosomal RNA". It matches the Rfam family "Bacterial small subunit ribosomal RNA", at positions 89 to 334 of the family's 1533-position model. The record is from RNAcentral.